RNAcentral lists this ribosomal RNA (484 nucleotides) under uncultured bacterium. RNAcentral describes it as "partial 16S ribosomal RNA". It matches the Rfam family "Bacterial small subunit ribosomal RNA", at positions 28 to 523 of the family's 1533-position model. The record is from RNAcentral.
GACGAACGCUGGCGGCGUGCUUAACACAUGCAAGUCGAACGAUGAAGCCGGAGCUUGCUCUGGUGAAUUAGUGGCGAACGGGUGAGUAACACGUGAGUAACCUGCCCUUGACUCUGGAAUAACUGCGGGAAACUGUAGCUAAUACCGGAUACGACCCUCGGAGGCAUCUCCUGGGGGUGGAAAGAAUUUCGGUCAAGGAUGGACUCGCGGCCUUUCAGCUAGUUGGCGAGGUAAAGGCUCACCAAGGCGACGACGGGUAGCCGGCCUGAGAGGGUGUCCGGCCACACUGGGACUGAGACACGGCCCAGACUCCUACGGGAGGCAGCAGUGGGGAAUAUUGCACAAUGGGCGCAAGCCUGAUGCAGCAACGCCGCGUGAGGGAUGACGGCCUUCGGGUUGUAAACCUCUUUUAGCAGGGAAGAAGCGAAAGUGACGGUACCUGCAGAAAAAGCACCGGCUAACUACGUGCCAGCCGCCGCCGUAA